This 489-nucleotide ribosomal RNA is filed under the name uncultured bacterium. RNAcentral describes it as "partial 16S ribosomal RNA". It matches the Rfam family "Bacterial small subunit ribosomal RNA", at positions 28 to 507 of the family's 1533-position model. The record is from RNAcentral.
GACGAACGCUGGCGGCGUGCUUAACACAUGCAAGUCGAACGGAAAGGCCCCCAUCUUGGUGGGGGUGCUCGAGUGGCGAACGGGUGAGUAACACGUGGGUGAUCUGCCCUGUACUUCGGGAUAAGCUUGGGAAACUGGGUCUAAUACCGGAUAGGACCAUGGUUUAGUGUCUCAUGGUGGAAAGAUUAUUGUUUUGGUGCAGGAUGAGCUCGCGGCCUAUCAGCUUGUUGGUGGGGUAAUGGCCUACCAAGGCGUCGACGGGUAGCCGGCCUGAGAGGGUGGACGGCCACAUUGGGACUCAGAUACCGCCCAGACUCCUCCGGGAGGCAGCAGUGGGGAAUAUUGCACAAUGGGCGCAAGCCUGAUGCAGCGACGCCGCGUGGGGGAUGACGGCCUUCGGGUUGUAAACUCCUUUCGUUAGGGACGAAGCCGCACUUUUUUUGGGUGUGGUGACGGUACCUUUGUUAAGAAGCACCGGCUAACUACGUG